RNAcentral lists this long non-coding RNA (1617 nucleotides) under Homo sapiens (human). Its description in RNAcentral is "HSALNT0331656". Lineage: Eukaryota; Metazoa; Chordata; Mammalia; Primates; Hominidae. The record is from RNAcentral.
CCCGCCUCCAGGGGGCGGUGUGCGCCCCCGGCGCUGGAGCAGCCGCGUUUCGGGGACCCGGGCAGGCGUGGGGGGCUGCGCUGAGCUCCAGGCCUCCUGCAGGUGCAAUAAGAAUCGUAUUACUAAUGUGGUGUCCUCUGGAAUGGUCACAUGAACACAGUUCCCUGCAGAUGUAAUUGGGAGAGAAGGCACAGUCCUGACACAGGGUAAGACUGUGGAGGUGUAUUGCUGUCCCUACCAGCCUGGAGUGCAGUAGUGUAAUCUCGGCUCACUGCAGCCUCAAACUUCUGGGCUCGAGCGAUCCUCUCACCUCAGCCUCCUGAGUAGCUGGGACUACAGGUUUCUCCUUCUCGUCUUCCAAAGCUGUGCCUUAACUUCCUCGAAAGACAACAUCAGUGCUGGCGGGCCUCAAGAAGAGCCAUCCCAAGGUAUUGACUAGGCAUCAGCGUCUUCACCAGGGCAACACAGAACAUCCCUGCAGAGUUCCUGGUGGCUGCAGUGGCUGGUAGGGGAUGUAUGCCUGCUUUCCAUCAGAUUCCCAAAGCGGAGCCCCUGGAGGCUUUGGCCCAUGGCCCUGAAGCUCCCUUUCACAAGGAAGAAAGACUUUGCAAAGCCAACACCACUAUUGGAGAGAAAGUGGAGAAUGUGUAUUAGAAGUACUAGUCUUUGAAGGCAAAACAGCUGUAUAGAGUGAGCUUAAGUGCUGGAUCCCUGUGGUUAGGAAGGGACACUAAGCCUCCGGGAUGUGAGAGUCCCAUGGAAGGCAGUAGGCCCAGGAUAAAGCAGGUGUCAGCUCAGAAAGCCCACCAUCACCCAGAAAAGGGAAGAAAUACGCUACCACCAUCACUCUUUCUGCCAAUGACUUCUUUGCACACCUCCACCCUAUCUCCUGGCUCAGUCUCCCAUGUUCUCAUAGCUAGGGAGGUCUCCAUUGUAAUUUGUAUGGGGAGGUUAACCUAUAGGCCAUUCUGAUGAUCCCAGCUCCCUUUCACUACAACCCCCGUCUGCAUCCUUUGCUUUGCAGUAGGAUUUGAGAGAGGAAGGAUGAAGAUGUAGCCACAGGAUACAUUUAAACAGGCACAGAGUUUGAGGGGUGGGGGGGAACAAAAGCAAAACAAUAAAACCUUCACCAGUCAUUAAAGAAAUGAAAAUGAACCUUUUGAGAUUGUCAAUUUUUAUCUGCUAAGUCAAGAAAAGCUAAUUUAAUUCCUGGCAAUUUCACAAUAAAAAAAAUUGUGCUAGCUCUUGGUGGCAUUGUAAGUAGUUAAAGGCUUUUUGGGAAGUAAUUUGAAAUACAUCAAGUCUUGAAAAUGAUUAUACCAGUGGAUCCAAUCAUCUCGCUGGUGGAAAUUCAUCUGAAGGAAAUGAUUCAGUGGAAAAAACAACCCGUCUACACUUGUUGCACCUAAAUGUCCAGGAAUAAGGGAAUGACAGAAGAAAUCUCAGCACAUUCUCUGAAUGGAACAGAAACCGAGCGUUUGGAACUAGAAUUGCGCAGACUGAAUUGAAUAUGGAAGUGGCUUUAAAUGGCAUGUUAGGUGGAAACACUGGAUGUCUGGUUGAAAUUUGGUAAGACACACAUUCCCAUGGUCAGAAUCGGAAAAUUUCAACAAAUGA